This is a long non-coding RNA of Andrographis paniculata, 384 nucleotides long. RefSeq lists it as uncharacterized. The transcript is spliced from 2 exons. The record is from RefSeq and is a predicted model, not a curated record. NCBI's taxonomy places the organism in Eukaryota, Viridiplantae, Streptophyta, Magnoliopsida, Lamiales, Acanthaceae.
GGAAGAUGUUAGCCCAAUUGGAAAGGUUGAUGGCUCUCUCAUGCUGCGCGUCCUCGUGAUGAUCAUGCUCUUCAUCGAUGGCACUGCAGGGUGAUCCAAGGGAGUCCACUUCCUCAAAGGACCUCAAGAUAAUAUUGUCAAGCCACAAUUGGAAUGGAAACCCGUGCUUGCGUAUGGUCUGCUGCCCCCCUCAAGACAAAAACAAGGCCAUCGACGACCGUUAUAAACUAGCUACGUUCUUCUCUAUCCCUAGGUGUGUGGAAAUGUUGUUUAGGAUGGGAUGGAUAUAAAUAAGCAUACUGAAUGUAGAUGCUGCUGGCUUGCACAAAAACUAGGAAUAUAAAACUUUACAGCAAAGCACAAAAAAAAAACAAAAAGAGAGAA